UCUCGCUUGAUAUUCUUUUCUUUUUCUUCUUCCUACUGAAUUCCUUCAUAAAGUUGAGAACACCAAGCACAUGUUUCCAUGUUUCAACCAUAGGAACCUUAAUCUCCAAUUUCUUGAAGAUCUUCAUAAAGCACUUGAACCUAUUUUCCCUCCUAUGAUUUUUCUUCUGAUGAGGAAAGGGUUUUGCAUAUGAUCUUUUCUUCCUUCCUCUCCUCCUCUUUUUCUCAAUCUCCCCCCUCAACUUUCUCUUUUUCUUUCUUUUUAUUUUCUUCUUUAUUUUUGCACAUUUUCUAUN
This 295-nucleotide long non-coding RNA is filed under the name Vigna radiata. RNAcentral describes it as "long non-coding RNA (VRAD_LNC004845)". The record is from RNAcentral. Lineage: Eukaryota; Viridiplantae; Streptophyta; Magnoliopsida; Fabales; Fabaceae.